GAUGAACGCUGGCGGCGUGCCUAAUACAUGCAAGUCGAGCGAACGGACGAGAAGCUUGCUUCUCUGAUGUUAGCGGCGGACGGGUGAGUAACACGUGGAUAACCUACCUAUAAGACUGGGAUAACUUCGGGAAACCGGAGCUAAUACCGGAUAAUAUUUUGAACCGCAUGGUUCAAAAGUGAAAGACGGUCUUGCUGUCACUUAUAGAUGGAUCCGCGCUGCAUUAGCUAGUUGGUAAGGUAACGGCUUACCAAGGCAACGAUGCAUAGCCGACCUGAGAGGGUGAUCGGACACACUGGAACUGAGACACGGUCCAGACUCCUACGGGAGGCAGCAGUAGGGAAUCUUCCGCAAUGGGCGAAAGCCUGACGGAGCAACGCCGCGUGAGUGAUGAAGGUCUUCGGAUCGUAAAACUUUGUUAUUAGGGAAGAACAUAUGUGUAAGUAACUGUGCACAUCUUGACGGUACCUAAUCAGAAAGCCACGGCUAACUACGUG
This 497-nucleotide ribosomal RNA is filed under the name uncultured bacterium. Its description in RNAcentral is "partial 16S ribosomal RNA". It matches the Rfam family "Bacterial small subunit ribosomal RNA", at positions 28 to 507 of the family's 1533-position model. The record is from RNAcentral.